UUUGAUCGACCCCAACCACAGCGGCUGCCCCGACUCGCCGCGGUCCUGCCCGUAGGUCGCCAGCAGCGCCUGCGCCUC
RNAcentral lists this antisense RNA (78 nucleotides) under Mycobacterium bohemicum. RNAcentral's name for it is "ASpks TB sRNA". It matches the Rfam family "ASpks TB sRNA". The record is from Rfam by way of RNAcentral. Lineage: Bacteria; Bacillati; Actinomycetota; Actinomycetes; Mycobacteriales; Mycobacteriaceae.